Molecule: ribosomal RNA, 2400 nt
Filed under: Triticum aestivum (bread wheat)
Lineage: Eukaryota; Viridiplantae; Streptophyta; Magnoliopsida; Poales; Poaceae
Description: partial small subunit ribosomal RNA
Source: RNAcentral
AUGUCGUCGGCGGUCGCGUCCGCCGCAUCCUUCCUCGCGCUCGCGUCAGCCUCCCCCGGGAGAUCACGCAGGCGGGCGAGGGUGAGCGCGCAGCCACCCCACGCCGGGGCCGGCAGGUUGCACUGGCCGCCGUGGCCGCCGCAGCGCACGGCUCGCGACGGAGCUGUGGCGGCGCUCGCCGCCGGGAAGAAGGACGCGGGGAUCGACGACGCCGCCGCGUCCGUGAGGCAGCCCCGCGCACUCCGCGGUGGCGCCGCCACCAAGGUCGCGGAGCGAAGGGAUCCCGUCAAGACGCUCGACCGCGACGCCGCGGAAGGCGGCGGGCCGUCCCCGCCGGCAGCGAGGCAGGACGCCGCCCGUCCGCCGAGUAUGAACGGCAUGCCGGUGAACGGCGAGAACAAAUCUACCGGCGGCGGCGGCGCGACUAAAGACAGCGGGCUGCCCACGCCCGCACGCGCGCCCCAUCCGUCGACCCAGAACAGAGCACCGGUGAACGGUGAAAACAAAGCUAACGUCGCCUCGCCGCCGACGAGCAUAGCCGAGGCCGCGGCUUCGGAUUCCGCAGCUACCAUUUCCAUCAGCGACAAGGCGCCGGAGUCCGUUGUCCCAGCUGAGAAGACGCCGCCGUCGUCCGGCUCAAAUUUCGAGUCCUCGGCCUCUGCUCCCGGGUCUGACACUGUCAGCGACGUGGAACAAGAACUGAAGAAGGGUGCGGUCGUUGUCGAAGAAGCUCCAAAGCCAAAGGCUCUUUCGCCGCCUGCAGCCCCCGCUGUACAAGAAGACCUUUGGGAUUUCAAGAAAUACAUUGGUUUCGAGGAGCCCGUGGAGGCCAAGGAUGAUGGCCGGGCUGUCGCAGAUGAUGCGGGCUCCUUUGAACACCACCAGAAUCACGACUCCGGACCUUUGGCAGGGGAGAAUGUCAUGAACGUGGUCGUCGUGGCUGCUGAGUGUUCUCCCUGGUGCAAAACAGGUGGUCUGGGAGAUGUUGCGGGUGCUCUGCCCAAGGCUUUGGCAAAGAGAGGACAUCGUGUUAUGGUUGUGGUACCAAGGUAUGGGGACUAUGAAGAAGCCUACGAUGUCGGAGUCCGAAAAUACUACAAGGCUGCUGGACAGGAUAUGGAAGUGAAUUAUUUCCAUGCUUAUAUCGAUGGAGUUGAUUUUGUGUUCAUUGACGCUCCUCUCUUCCGACACCGUCAGGAAGACAUUUAUGGGGGCAGCAGACAGGAAAUUAUGAAGCGCAUGAUUUUGUUCUGCAAGGCCGCUGUUGAGGUUCCAUGGCACGUUCCAUGCGGCGGUGUCCCUUAUGGGGAUGGAAAUCUGGUGUUUAUUGCAAAUGAUUGGCACACGGCACUCCUGCCUGUCUAUCUGAAAGCAUAUUACAGGGACCAUGGUUUGAUGCAGUACACUCGGUCCAUUAUGGUGAUACAUAACAUCGCUCACCAGGGCCGUGGCCCUGUAGAUGAAUUCCCGUUCACCGAGUUGCCUGAGCACUACCUGGAACACUUCAGACUGUACGACCCCGUGGGUGGUGAACACGCCAACUACUUCGCCGCCGGCCUGAAGAUGGCGGACCAGGUUGUCGUGGUGAGCCCCGGGUACCUGUGGGAGCUGAAGACGGUGGAGGGCGGCUGGGGGCUUCACGACAUCAUACGGCAGAACGACUGGAAGACCCGCGGCAUCGUCAACGGCAUCGACAACAUGGAGUGGAACCCCGAGGUGGACGCCCACCUCAAGUCGGACGGCUACACCAACUUCUCCCUGAGGACGCUGGACUCCGGCAAGCGGCAGUGCAAGGAGGCCCUGCAGCGCGAGCUGGGCCUGCAGGUCCGCGCCGACGUGCCGCUGCUCGGCUUCAUCGGCCGCCUGGACGGGCAGAAGGGCGUGGAGAUCAUCGCGGACGCCAUGCCCUGGAUCGUGAGCCAGGACGUGCAGCUGGUGAUGCUGGGCACCGGGCGCCACGACCUGGAGAGCAUGCUGCAGCACUUCGAGCGGGAGCACCACGACAAGGUGCGCGGGUGGGUGGGGUUCUCCGUGCGCCUGGCGCACCGGAUCACGGCGGGGGCGGACGCGCUCCUCAUGCCCUCCCGGUUCGAGCCGUGCGGGCUGAACCAGCUCUACGCCAUGGCCUACGGCACCGUCCCCGUCGUGCACGCCGUCGGCGGCCUCAGGGACACCGUGCCGCCGUUCGACCCCUUCAACCACUCCGGGCUCGGGUGGACGUUCGACCGCGCCGAGGCGCACAAGCUGAUCGAGGCGCUCGGGCACUGCCUCCGCACCUACCGAGACUUCAAGGAGAGCUGGAGGGCCCUCCAGGAGCGCGGCAUGUCGCAGGACUUCAGCUGGGAGCACGCCGCCAAGCUCUACGAGGACGUCCUCGUCAAGGCCAAGUACCAGUGGUGA